This 253-nucleotide ribosomal RNA is filed under the name uncultured bacterium. Its description in RNAcentral is "partial 16S ribosomal RNA". It matches the Rfam family "Bacterial small subunit ribosomal RNA", at positions 524 to 776 of the family's 1533-position model. The record is from RNAcentral.
UACGUAGGGCGCGAGCGUUGUCCGGAAUUAUUGGGCGUAAAGAGCUCGUAGGCGGCCUGUCGCGUCCGCUGUGAAAUCCCGGGGCUUAACCCCGGGCCUGCAGUGGAUACGGGCAGGCUGGAGGCAGGCAGGGGAGAACGGAAUUCCCGGUGUAGCGGUGAAAUGCGCAGAGAUCGGGAGGAACACCAGUGGCGAAGGCGGCCUUCUGGACCAAUACUGACGCUCAUGCACGAAAGCGUGGGGAGCAAACAGG